Molecule: ribosomal RNA, 253 nt
Filed under: uncultured bacterium
Lineage: Bacteria
Description: partial 16S ribosomal RNA
Rfam family: Bacterial small subunit ribosomal RNA
Source: RNAcentral
UACGUAGGGUGCGAGCGUUGUCCGGAAUUACUGGGCGUAAAGAGCUCGUAGGUGGUUUGUCGCGUUGUUCGUGAAAACUCACAGCUCAACUGUGGGCGUGCGGGCGAUACGGGCAGACUGGAGUACUGCAGGGGAGACUGGAAUUCCUGGUGUAGCGGUGGGAUGCGCAGAUAUCAGGAGGAACACCGGUGGCGAAGGCGGGUCUCUGGGCAGUAACUGACGCUGAGGAGCGAAAGCGUGGGGAGCGAACAGG